UGGGGAAUAUUGGGCAAUGGGGGAAACCCUGACCCAGCGACGCCGCGUGAGGGAAGAAGGCCUUAGGGUUGUAAACCUCUGUUGUGUGGGAAGAAGAGCGUGACGGUACCACACGAGGAAGUCCCGGCUAACUACGUGCCAGCAGCCGCGGUAAUACGUAGGGGACGAGCGUUGUCCGGAUUUACUGGGCGUAAAGGGCGCGUAGGCGGUCAUUUAAGUCAGCUGUGAAAUGGUUUGGCUUAACCGGAUCAUGCGGUUGAAACUGGAUGACUGGAGUGCUGGAGAGGCAAGUGGAAUUCCCAGUGUAGCGGUGAAAUGCGUAGAUCUUGGGAAGAACACCGGUGGCGAAGGCGACCUGCUGGCCAGCAACUGACGCUGAGGCGCGAAAGCCAGGGGAGCAAACG
Molecule: ribosomal RNA, 404 nt
Filed under: uncultured bacterium
Lineage: Bacteria
Description: bacterial SSU rRNA
Rfam family: Bacterial small subunit ribosomal RNA
Source: RNAcentral